GCCGGGCGCAGUGGCGCAUGCCUGUAAUCCCAGCAGCUUGGGAGGCUGAGGCUGAGGCAUGGGGACCGCAAGUUCAAAGCCAGCCUCAA
Molecule: small RNA, 89 nt
Filed under: Marmota monax (woodchuck)
Lineage: Eukaryota; Metazoa; Chordata; Mammalia; Rodentia; Sciuridae
Source: RNAcentral